GCUUCGGUAGCUCAGUCGGUAGAGCAGGGGACUGAAAAUCCCCGUGUCGGUGGUUCAAUUCCGCCCCGAAGCACCA
This 76-nucleotide transfer RNA is filed under the name Clostridia bacterium. Its description in RNAcentral is "tRNA-Phe". It matches the Rfam family "tRNA". From Rfam's summary of the family: Transfer RNA (tRNA) molecules are approximately 80 nucleotides in length. Their secondary structure includes four short double-helical elements and three loops (D, anti-codon, and T loops). The record is from RNAcentral. Lineage: Bacteria; Bacillati; Bacillota; Clostridia.